RNAcentral lists this long non-coding RNA (837 nucleotides) under Struthio camelus australis. RNAcentral describes it as "lncRNA (ENSSCUG00000010317.1)". Lineage: Eukaryota; Metazoa; Chordata; Aves; Struthioniformes; Struthionidae. The record is from RNAcentral.
CAGUAGGAACAGCUAAAGACGGAAGUUCCCUGGGGGAACAGACUCUUGGAGGCAGCAAAAAGCCAUGGCUUCAUUGGCAACUCUCUCUGCGUCAGAGCUGUGUGCUACCAUACAUGGAAGAUGGAUCAUGUGGAACAAGAGCUGCUGCUGUGCUUUUGUCUUCCUCCAGUCUCCCCUUUGUGCCACCAGGAAUGCUUAGUGUGUGACAGCCUCAAUGCUGACUUGUCUCCUGGUAAUAACUUGUGUGCUAUUUGGAAUGCCUUCACCAUGCAUCUUGCAUCAGCUGAGAGACUGCCACCUGGCCCUUCAGAUCCCUACUCAAGCUGACUAUACUCACUGAUCAUGGAAAAGGUGACCUCGGAUGGACACACUGAAACCCACUGCUUGUUCGUGUACAAGACAAAGGAGAAGACGCUUGUGAAAUACAUGGUGAAUUCAUCCAGCUCUGUGCUCCUGUUCCCUUCUCUUAUUCCUCCUUCCCAUCCUCUCUUCUUAUGUUCUUUGUCCACUUGUUGCAUCUUGUUGCCAGUUAACCUGUCAGUUCUUUAAGAUGAGGAUAAUCUUUCCUAAAUAUUGUACUUACUCAGCGUGACGGAAGCUUAAGAACCUCUGGGCUCUCAUGUAAUGAACACAAUAUAUAAUAAUAAGAAGAUGUCAUUGAAAAAUGAGCCUGGUACUGUGCAGAAUAAUUGAGAAUAAUGUUAGUUUUGAAUAGGAACACUUUUUUUUUGUUCAGAGGUAUAUGCAUUUUGUCAGAAAUAACAUAAUUUUCAGAAUGCUCAGAUUUGCAAUUUUCCCCCUUCAUUUCUUUCAGUUUCUUUUCUAUUUCAUUUUUUU